UACGGAGGGUGCAAGCGUUAUCCGGAUUCACUGGGUUUAAAGGGUGCGUAGGUGGGAAUGUAAGUCAGUGGUGAAAUCUCCGUGCUUAACAUGGAAACUGCCAUUGAUACUAUGUUUCUUGAAUUUUCUGGAGGUAAGCGGAAUAUGUCAUGUAGCGGUGAAAUGCAUAGAUAUGACCCAGAACACCGAUUGCGAAGGCAGGCUACUACGACUUAAUCGACACUGAGGCACGAGAGCAUGGGUAGCGAACAGG
Molecule: ribosomal RNA, 253 nt
Filed under: uncultured bacterium
Lineage: Bacteria
Description: partial 16S ribosomal RNA
Rfam family: Bacterial small subunit ribosomal RNA
Source: RNAcentral